Molecule: ribosomal RNA, 528 nt
Filed under: uncultured bacterium
Lineage: Bacteria
Description: bacterial SSU rRNA
Rfam family: Archaeal small subunit ribosomal RNA
Source: RNAcentral
AGUGAAUAGAUACCCUGGUAGUCCUAGCCGUAAACGAUACUCGCUAGGUGUCGGCCACGGUGCGACCGUUGUCGGUGCCGUAGGGAAAGCCGUGAAGCGAGCCACCUGGGAAGUACGGCCGCAAGGCUGAAACUUAAAGGAAUUGGCGGGGGAGCACCACAACGGGUGGAGCUUGCGGUUUAAAUUGGAUUCAACGCCGGAAAUCUUACCGGGACCGACAGCAACAUGAAGGCCAGGCUGAAGACUUUGCCGGAUUAGCUGAGAGGUGGUGCAUGGCCGUCGUCAGUUCGUACUGUGAAGCAUCCUGUUAAGUCAGGCAACGAGCGAGACCCACGCCCACAGUUGCCAGCGUACUCUCCGGAGUGACGGGUACACUGUGGGGACCGCCGCUGCUAAAGCGGAGGAAGGAAUGGGCAACGGUAGGUCAGUAUGCCCCGAAUAUCCCGGGCUACACGCGAGCUACAAUGGUUGGUACAAUGGGUAUCUACCCCGAAAGGGAUGGAAAUCUCCUAAAGCCAAUCUUAGUUC